CAAAGGCAGACUUAUUUGGUAAAGGACAGGAGGAGGUAGUGUAAGGAAUGUUUUGAAGAAAAAUAUCAAAGUUUUUUUUGAUAAAUAUUUAAAAGGCGCCUAUUGGGCUACUUCAGGUGCGUGGUUCACCAACUGUCCUUGUCUAGAAAGAAUCACGUAUCAGAAUGUUUCCUUUCUAAAGAGAAGUGAUGUUAAGAGCCUAGUGAUAGAUAUCUGUUAGCCCAAACUCCUUAAACACUUUUCCUUUCAUAUGAUUUAGUUUUGGUUUGAAUGUUCUAAAAUAUGCCAUAGUAAUCACAGAUUUUAAAUAACUAUUUAUAGGAACCAUAACUCAUUUUCCUUGUUUGCUACAUUCUUUUAUUUUUUAUAUAAAAAUAUUAGUCUCUUGUUAUAUUAGUCACAAUAGGUUAUGCUAUCCUGCAAAACUGAAAUCUCACUGAAUUAGCACACAGGAGCUCAGGCAAACUCUGCUAUGUGUCCAAAGGCGUCUCAGGGUAGCUCCCAGUUGAUGACUCAGGGAUCCAGGUUAUCUGUAUCUUUGGUUCUACUGUGUGUCCAAAGGCUUCUCCAGGUGGCUCUCAGUGAUGAUUCAGGAAUCCAGGUUAUUUCCAUCUUCCGCUCUGCUCCAGGAUCUCAACAUGUGGCUUCCAGGUCAUCAUAUCAGGAGAAAAGGGAAUUUUGUGUGAAGUGAUGGCAGGGCCAGGACAGCAGUGUG
RNAcentral lists this long non-coding RNA (715 nucleotides) under Homo sapiens (human). RNAcentral describes it as "HSALNT0110051". Lineage: Eukaryota; Metazoa; Chordata; Mammalia; Primates; Hominidae. The record is from RNAcentral.